GAGUUUGAUCCUGGCUCAGGAUAAACGCUGGCGGCGCACAUAAGACAUGCAAGUCGAACGAACUUAACCCUUUGUUUACAUUGGGAGCGGUUAGUGGCGGACUGGUGAGUAACACGUAAGCAACCUGCCUAUUAGAGGGGAAUAACAGUGAGAAAUCAUUGCUAAUACCGCAUAUGCUCACAGUAUCACAUGAUACAGUGAGGAAAGGAGCAAUCCGCUAAUAGAUGGGCUUGCGUCUGAUUAGCUAGUUGGUGGGGUAACGGCCUACCAAGGCGACGAUCAGUAGCCGGACUGAGAGGUUGAACGGCCACAUUGGGACUGAGAUACGGCCCAGACUCCUACGGGAGGCAGCAGUCGGGAAUAUAGCGCAAUGGAGGAAACUCUGACGCAGUGACGCCGCGUAAAGGAGAAGGUUUUCGGAUUGUAAACUAUUGUC
Molecule: ribosomal RNA, 436 nt
Filed under: uncultured bacterium
Lineage: Bacteria
Description: bacterial SSU rRNA
Rfam family: Bacterial small subunit ribosomal RNA
Source: RNAcentral